This is a long non-coding RNA of Oreochromis aureus, 248 nucleotides long. RefSeq lists it as uncharacterized. Lineage: Eukaryota; Metazoa; Chordata; Actinopteri; Cichliformes; Cichlidae. The record is from RefSeq and is a predicted model, not a curated record. The transcript is spliced from 3 exons.
CCCAGGACAUCGAUGCCAUUCUUGCUGCCAUUAUGGAGUACCGGGCUCUUAACAUUGUCCCAGCAAUCAUCUCCCCGAGGAACGUUCCCGCGAUUAAUCAGGCGAUGGAGGCUGACGACACAGGAAACUCCAUCUUCACGGUGCUGAGGAGGCCACAGGAGCCGGCUGCUGACCUGAGGAGGGUCAAGAACUGUGCCAUCUGUUAUGACCCCUGCAGGCGUGCACAGGAGUGCGCCUUCAUCCAGGAA